GUCGAGCGGAUGAGAGGAGCUUGCUCCUUGAUUUAGCGGCGGACGGGUGAGUAAUGCCUAGGAAUCUGCCUAGUGGUGGGGGAUAACGUUCCGAAAGGAACGCUAAUACCGCAUACGUCCUACGGGAGAAAGCGGGGGAUCUUCGGACCUCGCGCCAUUAGAUGAGCCUAGGUCGGAUUAGCUAGUUGGUGAGGUAAAGGCUCACCAAGGCGACGAUCCGUAACUGGUCUGAGAGGAUGAUCAGUCACACUGGAACUGAGACACGGUCCAGACUCCUACGGGAGGCAGCAGUGGGGAAUAUUGGACAAUGGGCGAAAGCCUGAUCCAGCCAUGCCGCGUGUGUGAAGAAGGUCUUCGGAUUGUAAAGCACUUUAAGUUGGGAGGAAGGGUAUUCACCUAAUACGUGAGUAUUUUGACGUUACCGACAGAAUAAGCACCGGCUAACUUCGUGCCAGCAGCCGCGGUAAUACGAAGGGUGCAAGCGUUAAUCGGAAUUACUGGGCGUAAACGCGCGCGUAGGUGGUUCGUUAAGUUGCAUGUGAAAGCCCCGGGCUCUACCUGGGAACUGCAUCCUAAACUGGCGAGCUAGAGUACGGUAUAGGGUGGUGGAAAUUUCUUGUGUAGCGGUGAAAUGCGUAGAUAUAGGAUGGAACACCAGUGGCGCAGGCGACCACCUGCACUGAUACUCACCACUGAGGUCGCGAACAGCGGUGGUGAGCAUACAGCAUUAGAUACCCCUGGUAGUCCACGCCGUACAUCGAUGUCAACUAGCCGUUGGAAUCCUUGAAGAUUUUAUGUCGCCGCAAGCCUCAACGCAUUAAGUUG
RNAcentral lists this ribosomal RNA (825 nucleotides) under uncultured Pseudomonas sp. RNAcentral describes it as "bacterial SSU rRNA". It matches the Rfam family "Bacterial small subunit ribosomal RNA", at positions 61 to 867 of the family's 1533-position model. Lineage: Bacteria; Pseudomonadati; Pseudomonadota; Gammaproteobacteria; Pseudomonadales; Pseudomonadaceae. The record is from RNAcentral.